CCAGGCCUAACACAUGCAAGUCGAACGCCCUCUUCGGAGGGAGUGGCAGACGGGUGAGUAACACGUGGGAACCUACCUAGGGGUACGGAAUAACUCGGGGAAACUCGUGCUAAUACCGUAUACGACCCAAGGGUGAAAGAUUUAUCGCCCCUAGAUGGGCCCGCGCUGGAUUAGCUAGUUGGUGGGGUAAAAGCCUACCAAGGCGACGAUCCAUAGCUGGUCUGAGAGGAUGAUCAGCCACACUGGGACUGAGACACGGCCCAGACUCCUACGGGAGGCAGCAGUGGGGAAUCUUGGACAAUGGGGGAAACCCUGAUCCAGCCAUGCCGCGUGAGUGAUGAAGGCCUUAGGGUUGUAAAGCUCUUUCGCCAGGGAAGAUAAUGACGGUAC
RNAcentral lists this ribosomal RNA (390 nucleotides) under uncultured bacterium. Its description in RNAcentral is "bacterial SSU rRNA". It matches the Rfam family "Bacterial small subunit ribosomal RNA", at positions 42 to 478 of the family's 1533-position model. The record is from RNAcentral.